GACGAACGCUGGCGGCGUGCUUAACACAUGCAAGUCGAACGGUGAAGGGACUGGUUUUGCUGGUCCUGGAUGAGUGGCGAACGGGUGAGUAACACGUGAGUAACCUGCCCCCUUCUUCUGGAUAACCGCAUGAAAGUGUGGCUAAUACGGGAUAUUCUGGGUCUGUCGCAUGGUGGGCCUGGGAAAGAUUGCGCCUUUUUUGGUGUUUCUGGUGGGGGAUGGGCUCGCGGCCUAUCAGCUUGUUGGUGGGGUGAUGGCCUACCAAGGCGGUGACGGGUAGCCGGCCUGAGAGGGUGGACGGUCACACUGGGACUGAGACACGGCCCAGACUCCUACGGGAGGCAGCAGUGGGGAAUAUUGCACAAUGGGCGAAAGCCUGAUGCAGCGACGCCGCGUGAGGGAUGGAGGCCUUCGGGUUGUGACCCUCUUUCGCCAGUGAAGCAGGCCUGCCUCUUUUUGUGGGUGGGUUGACGGUAGCUGGAUAAGAAGCGCCGGCUAACUACGUG
RNAcentral lists this ribosomal RNA (506 nucleotides) under uncultured bacterium. RNAcentral's name for it is "partial 16S ribosomal RNA". It matches the Rfam family "Bacterial small subunit ribosomal RNA", at positions 28 to 507 of the family's 1533-position model. The record is from RNAcentral.